Corythoichthys intestinalis (scribbled pipefish) is the source of this 180-nucleotide long non-coding RNA. RefSeq lists it as uncharacterized. Lineage: Eukaryota; Metazoa; Chordata; Actinopteri; Syngnathiformes; Syngnathidae. The record is from RefSeq and is a predicted model, not a curated record. The transcript has 4 exons.
GUUGGUGAGAAUUUUAUAUUUACCCCCUCGGUGAUUCGAUACGCACCACCAGCGCAGGUGUUAGUUGCGGAUGCAACUGCGCAGAUUGAUGAGUUAUUCAUUCAACCAAACGCCGCCCCAAAACCUGCAAUAGUUGCGGAUGCAACUGCGCAGAUUGAUGAGUUAUUCAUUCAACCAAAC